This 119-nucleotide ribosomal RNA is filed under the name Pteropus alecto (black flying fox). The record is from RNAcentral. Lineage: Eukaryota; Metazoa; Chordata; Mammalia; Chiroptera; Pteropodidae.
GUCUACGUCUAUGCCACCCUGAAUGUGCCCAAUCCUGUCCGAUAUCGGAAGCUAAGCGAGGUCGGGCCUGGUUAGUACUUGGAUGGGAGACCACCUAGGAAGACCAGGUGCUGUAGGCG